ACACAAUCCGCAGCCCCUGCGUCUGUGCAGUGACCAGCCAGUCCCUGAGAACUUUCCCCUCCAGCACCAGGGAAAAUGGGAUUUUUGCCCCUUGUAAUUUUCGUUGUAGCCGCUUUGGAAGGUGUCCGGUCCCAGGUGCAGCUGGUGGAGUCCGGAGGGGAUAUGAAAAAGCCCGGAGACUCUCUCCGCCUCUCCUGCAAAGCCUCCGGGUUCACCUUCAGCAGCGCCUACAUGAGCUGGGUCCGACAGGCUCCUGGCAAGGGGCUAGAAUGGGUCGCUUUUAUAAACACGGGUGGGAGUAGUACAUAUUACCCUGAUUCAGUGAAAGGCCGAUUCACCAUCUCCAGGGACAACCCCAACAACCUGCUGUAUCUGCAAAUGACCGGCCUGAAGCCCGAGGACACCGCCCGCUAUUACUGUGCGAGAGACACAGUGACACGAAACCGG
Mauremys mutica (yellowpond turtle) is the source of this 447-nucleotide non-coding RNA. Lineage: Eukaryota; Metazoa; Chordata; Testudines; Geoemydidae. The record is from the annotation of a RefSeq genome assembly.